This 2917-nucleotide ribosomal RNA is filed under the name Klebsiella pneumoniae. Its description in RNAcentral is "23S ribosomal RNA". It matches the Rfam family "Bacterial large subunit ribosomal RNA". Lineage: Bacteria; Pseudomonadati; Pseudomonadota; Gammaproteobacteria; Enterobacterales; Enterobacteriaceae. The record is from RNAcentral.
GGGUUGUGAGGUUAAGCGACUAAGCGUACACGGUGGAUGCCCUGGCAGUCAGAGGCGAUGAAGGACGUGCUAAUCUGCGAAAAGCGUCGGUAAGGUGAUAUGAACCGUUAUAACCGGCGAUGUCCGAAUGGGGAAACCCAGUGCAAUUCGUUGCACUAUCGUUAACUGAAUACAUAGGUUAACGAGGCGAACCGGGGGAACUGAAACAUCUAAGUACCCCGAGGAAAAGAAAUCAACCGAGAUUCCCCCAGUAGCGGCGAGCGAACGGGGAGCAGCCCAGAGUCUGAAUCAGCUUGUGUGUUAGUGGAACGGUCUGGAAAGUCCGACGGUACAGGGUGAUAGUCCCGUACACCAAAAUGCACAGGCUGUGAACUCGAAGAGUAGGGCGGGACACGUGGUAUCCUGUCUGAAUAUGGGGGGACCAUCCUCCAAGGCUAAAUACUCCUGACUGACCGAUAGUGAACCAGUACCGUGAGGGAAAGGCGAAAAGAACCCCGGCGAGGGGAGUGAAAAAGAACCUGAAACCGUGUACGUACAAGCAGUGGGAGCACCUUCGGGUGUGACUGCGUACCUUUUGUAUAAUGGGUCAGCGACUUAUAUUCUGUAGCAAGGUUAACCGUAUAGGGGAGCCGCAGGGAAACCGAGUCUUAACUGGGCGUUAAGUUGCAGGGUAUAGACCCGAAACCCGGUGAUCUAGCCAUGGGCAGGUUGAAGGUUGGGUAACACUAACUGGAGGACCGAACCGACUAAUGUUGAAAAAUUAGCGGAUGACUUGUGGCUGGGGGUGAAAGGCCAAUCAAACCGGGAGAUAGCUGGUUCUCCCCGAAAGCUAUUUAGGUAGCGCCUCGUGAACUCAUCUUCGGGGUAGAGCGACUGUUUCGGCUAGGGUCAUCCCGACUUACCAACCCGAUGCAAACUACGAAUACCGAAGAAUGUUAUCACGGGAGACACACGGCGGGUGCUAACGUCCGUCGUGAAGAGGGAAACAACCCAGACCGCCAGCUAAGGUCCCAAAGUCAUGGUUAAGUGGGAAACGAUGUGGGAAGGCACAGACAGCCAGGAUGUUGGCUUAGAAGCAGCCAUCAUUUAAAGAAAGCGUAAUAGCUCACUGGUCGAGUCGGCCUGCGCGGAAGAUGUAACGGGGCUAAACCAUGCACCGAAGCUGCGGCAGCGACACUAUGUGUUGUUGGGUAGGGAGCGUUCUGUAAGCCUGCGAAGGUGACCUGUGAGGGUUGCUGGAGGUAUCAGAAGUGCGAAUGCUGACAUAAGUAACGAUAAAGCGGGUGAAAAGCCCGCUCGCCGGAAGACCAAGGGUUCCUGUCCAACGUUAAUCGGGGCAGGGUGAGUCGACCCCUAAGGCGAGGCCGAAAGGCGUAGUCGAUGGGAAACAGGUUAAUAUUCCUGUACUUGGUGUUACUGCGAAGGGGGGACGGAGAAGGCUAUGUUAGCCGGGCGACGGUUGUCCCGGUUUAAGCAUGUAGGCUGGUUGUCCAGGCAAAUCCGGAUAAUCAAGGCUGAGGUGUGAUGACGAGGUACUACGGUGCUGAAGUAACAAAUGCCCUGCUUCCAGGAAAAGCCUCUAAGCAUCAGGUAACAUCAAAUCGUACCCCAAACCGACACAGGUGGUCAGGUAGAGAAUACCAAGGCGCUUGAGAGAACUCGGGUGAAGGAACUAGGCAAAAUGGUGCCGUAACUUCGGGAGAAGGCACGCUGGUGUGUAGGUGAAGUCCCUGCGGAUGGAGCUGAGACCAGUCGAAGAUACCAGCUGGCUGCAACUGUUUAUUAAAACACAGCACUGUGCAAACACGAAAGUGGACGUAUACGGUGUGACGCCUGCCCGGUGCCGGAAGGUUAAUUGAUGGGGUUAUCCGUAAGGAGAAGCUCUUGAUCGAAGCCCCGGUAAACGGCGGCCGUAACUAUAACGGUCCUAAGGUAGCGAAAUUCCUUGUCGGGUAAGUUCCGACCUGCACGAAUGGCGUAAUGAUGGCGAGGCUGUCUCCACCCGAGACUCAGUGAAAUUGAACUCGCUGUGAAGAUGCAGUGUACCCGCGGCAAGACGGAAAGACCCGUGAACCUUUACUAUAGCUUGACACUGAACAUUGAGCCUUGAUGUAGGAUAGGUGGGAGGCUUUGAAGCGUGGACGCCAGUCUGCGUGGAGCCAACCUUGAAAUACCACCCUUUAAUGUUUGAUGUUCUAACGUUGGCCCCUGACCGGGGUUGCGGACAGUGUCUGGUGGGUAGUUUGACUGGGGCGGUCUCCUCCCAAAGCGUAACGGAGGAGCACGAAGGUUAGCUAAUCCUGGUCGGACAUCAGGAGGUUAGUGCAAUGGCAUAAGCUAGCUUGACUGCGAGCGUGACGGCGCGAGCAGGUGCGAAAGCAGGUCAUAGUGAUCCGGUGGUUCUGAAUGGAAGGGCCAUCGCUCAACGGAUAAAAGGUACUCCGGGGAUAACAGGCUGAUACCGCCCAAGAGUUCAUAUCGACGGCGGUGUUUGGCACCUCGAUGUCGGCUCAUCACAUCCACGGGGCUGAAGUAGGUCCCAAGGGUAUGGCUGUUCGCCAUUUAAAGUGGUACGCGAGCUGGGUUUAGAACGUCGUGAGACAGUUCGGUCCCUAUCUGCCGUGGGCGCUGGAGAAUUGAGGGGGGCUGCUCCUAGUACGAGAGGACCGGAGUGGACGCAUCACUGGUGUUCGGGUUGUCAUGCCAAUGGCACUGCCCGGUAGCUAAAUGCGGAAGAGAUAAGUGCUGAAAGCAUCUAAGCACGAAACUUGCCCCGAGAUGAGUUCUCCCUGAGACUUUAAGUCUCCUGAAGGAACGUUAAAGACGAUGACGUUGAUAGGCCGGGUGUGUAAGCGCAGCGAUGCGUUGAGCUAACCGGUACUAAUGAACCGUGAGGCUUAACCUUACAACGCCGAAG